AGAAGUUAUCGACAAUUACAAUAAAGGAAAGGAACUUUUACCUAAUGUGUAACUUUUAAAUAUGUGAAACGAGAAAUUAGACCAGAAUGGCGGCUCCGGUGAUGUAAUUCUUCUAGGUCUCCUUCACUAUACUGCAACGGUCCUAUGGAUGCCUUCUUGCUGGCCUUUGGAAUCCUCUGCUAAUAGUGCCUUUUCGUCGGCUUCUUCUUCUCUACCUUUGUUAUCUUCGUCGACGAGAAGGAUUGAGAAAGCAAAGUAGCGACUUGGGACGAGAUCGGUAGAGUUCAAAUUCCUACAGAUGAUAUAUUAUUUAAAAUUAAGAGAAGAUUUCCUUCUGAAGUUCGAUGCCUCCACUGAUUCGAAUAUGAAUUCGUUCGUCUCUCUUUCUCUUCUACAAUCAGGCUUCCAUUGCACUACAAAGUGCUCAAUUUUAGAUGUAAGAUGGUCUUGGGGCUCUAUGUUCAUCUCUUGUACAGUUAACUUUUGCUGACUGAUUAUGGUGUGCUCCUUAACGGCGGUUGCUAAGGUGAUUAUCAAACGGGGAAGUACACAAGCGACUUGAGGAGGAAGCUACUAAAAGAAAGUAGCAGAAGGAAUGGAAACAAGAGCUGUGAAGAAGUGAAGAGAUCUCUUGUCCCAAUAUUAGUUUGAAUCCAACAUUGUUUAACUGUAAAGAUGUAUAAUUAUCCAUAGUUUUAUUCUUGGAAUGAAUUCUUGGGAUCUUCUGUUUUCAAAUAUUUUAUUUUUGUUUAAAUUGUCUAUGUGAAUAACAUUUGUAGGUAUAAUUUGAACUUUGAUGGUUAUUGUGAGCACGUGAUUUUUUCCCUAA
Long non-coding RNA from Nicotiana attenuata, 829 nucleotides. RefSeq lists it as uncharacterized. The transcript has 3 exons. The record is from RefSeq and is a predicted model, not a curated record. NCBI's taxonomy places the organism in Eukaryota, Viridiplantae, Streptophyta, Magnoliopsida, Solanales, Solanaceae.